CCUUGACUGACAAGGUUGCCGAGGAGAUCAAUGAGGAGCUGUGCCAAAGGCCUUUUGGAAGUACAAGUAAACAUCACCUGCUGGUAAACGUGUGUCCUCAUCCUUGUUGGCACCUUCGAAGAACGGUGAAGAGUCAGUGAGACGAAACAUAAGGGGAUUUUUGAAGACACCAAGCAGAAGCUCUGUGAAGUCCUGAAGUGAGACCCUGUCGCACUGCUACUCCCCAGUGACUGGCAAUUCUGAGCCAGAAAACCUCGUCACAACAGCAACGCACCUUCAUGUAGCUUCAUUCCAGAUGGCUUUGCAGGAGAGAAACAGGAACCACCAGCUGGUAGCUACUGGAGCAACAGCAGCAGCAGGUAAAUUUUGCCUGCCCAUUCAUAAAUCAAAAGCAGGGGCAAUAUAGAGGAGCAUUCUUCGGUGUCAGUUGCCCUGGGACUGGAGAACAGAAGGGGUUCACACUCUGGCUUCUGCCAUCAGCCACAAGCUGAAGGCCACUGGAAGACUGUGCCCUCUGCUUCCCAGGAAUGUCAAGCCAAGGGGGAGACCAAUCUGGCCCAUCUGUUGGUCACUGGAGGAGGAGCUGCAGUAAGGAAGCACUCACGAAGAGUGCCAGGAAGAGCACUCAGCUCCAGCUGCAGGUGGCCCUGUGAAUGCAGAAGGAAGGGGAAAGAGGUCUCUGGUCAUUGGCCAAAGGAACAAAGAUCAAUCAAUUACUAGUCAGGGAAUAAUAUUGGCAAGGGAAGUGCAGCCCGGCCGGAUAUGCUUUCAAAUGCCAUCUUGUUCUGCCCUUGAAAAUCUGAUCUUCCAUCUCUUCCUUUUCUCUUUCCUUGUGAGUCUUGCCAUUAUGAACUGCUUUGAAAGGCAAUAAUCAUGUGAACGGGGAGAAUGAAAUAUUGCAAACAAGCAAACUUAGAGAUAGGUGUGGAACUGGAUUUAUACUCCACACAUUUGUGCAAUGCUUCUUUCAAGUCAUAUUUAUGGCCUUCAAGAGCACAGUCCUAUGGGGAUGCCCAUAGUGUCCUGUGGAUCCACCUUCUGGUGCAGGUGCACUCUAAGGCUAGGUGGAUCGUCCGCCUUCCUCUGAGGCACUGCAAGGGACACAAGGCCCUCAGGAGGAGGAGACAUCAGAGUCUAUCAGUACUGGAGGAUACCAAGCAGUUUCCUUGAAGGUACUAGCGAUAUCAGGGGUUCUACAGGGUUGCUGGACACUGUAGACUCUAAACCUUCAUCCAAAGAGCAUGCUGGCCUGGGCCUGGAUAAGGCUUGACAGUAUCUUUAAUUUCCUUUCAUAUUAGGGGAAUGAAAGAUCCCUUGACCCUUGCCAAGCCUUACAUAGUAUAGCUGUACAGGAGCCAACCAAGUUCUGCUUUCCAAAGUUGCUGCAACAGUGCAUGGUACGGGUUCAAUUCCAUGCCAUGGUACCAGAGCCUUUGCAUCCAAUCUUAACCCCCUUUAUCUUUCCCAGCAGACUAUAAGGUCCAAUUCUGAACAUCUAUUCAUGUCUCCCAGGUGAUUGCUUUUGAGAAAGUGUGAAGCUGUUGGUGCGUUCUUAACAACCCAUUUGGGAUCUGUUGGUAAGGAGGCAAGCUAGAAGUCCCAGGACAAGUAGGCCUGGUCAGUGAACUGGAAGAAGCAGAAUCCUGUGUGAUUGGCUGAGCCUGCAUAAGCUGAUCAAGGGCCAGAACACACCCAGGCCCAUAAGACUCACCUAUUGGCAGUAUGUGCUUCAAGCUAAAAGCAUGAACACCUCUUUUGCCUUUGGCCCUGCCCUUUUUCCCUCCCCUGCCACUAAGAUGUGGUCCCAAAGAGCUUCUUCCUCGAGCUGGAAGAGAUUCGUAACUCCUGAACAUGAUGGACAAGUUACCUGGACGAAUCUCAGUUCAGUGGUACUUGCUGCUACACACUGGAUUUUCCCAGGGAAUUAAUGCAAGAAGUAGUGGAGGAUUUUGAUGCAUGUGCUAUUCUCACGUAUACAAGAAAUAGAACCCCAAAAUCAAACCCUGUCAAAUAACUGGG
Molecule: long non-coding RNA, 2019 nt
Organism: Varanus komodoensis (Komodo dragon)
Lineage: Eukaryota; Metazoa; Chordata; Lepidosauria; Squamata; Varanidae
Exons: 3
Source: RefSeq, a predicted model, not a curated record